Molecule: long non-coding RNA, 1084 nt
Organism: Alexandromys fortis (reed vole)
Lineage: Eukaryota; Metazoa; Chordata; Mammalia; Rodentia; Cricetidae
Exons: 3
Source: RefSeq, a predicted model, not a curated record
CCCCCUGCAAGGUUAGCUGCUAAAUCUCCUGUGUCAGCAGGGUGCGCAGCGCAAACGCUAGCAGCCAGGAGCCUGCGGGUUCCGGAGGAGACAAGCUCCGGUUACCCGAUCCUGAAGCCCAGCCUCCUGAGUGCCGGCCUGCCAAGAGAGAGCCACUCGACCCAGUUUUUCCUUAACCCCAGAGGUCCUGAGGAUGUUGCUGACAGGCUAUAGACUACAAUGUGGAUGGAGGGCCACGGUGUGUGAGACCACCGUGCAACAGCUACAGAGUUGGAAAACUGUGCUCCCCGUCUUAAGAACGAAGAAGAAGAGCUCUUAAAGUCAGACGUGGACUAAUCGAAUGUAGACUAGUCGGUCACUGGUCUGGAGAGGGCUGAAGAAGAGGCGCAAGCCCACCAAGGGUUAACGUUGUUCAUUCAUCCCGGGAACCUAAGAACGAAAUCUAACUGCCGCGGACCUGAGUUUGAUUCCUAUCAUCUGUGACAGAAAGCACACAACCAUCUGUAAGUCCAGCUCCUUGGGGAUCUGAUCAACCUUUUUUGGUCUACACACAUACACACGAGAGACAGAGACAUAAUUUAGGACAUAAUAUUGUUCAUAAUCCCCCUAACGUUCUUCCUCCCUUCCUCCCUCAUUUGUAGUCAUUAAUAGUCCACUCCGCAUCUCCCAAACCCCUUAGCGGUAGGCCAUUGCUAAUAUGUUUUGUUUCUGUGGACUGUGUUGUGAUCAAAUGUAGGACCUGACUAAUUACCGUCACUCCCCCUGAGGUAGAACCCCUCGUCCCAGCCUUCAGACCAUUGGGCUUUCACAGUGCAUUCAUGCCCACCCAUGGACAGGACAGGAUGGGACAGCCUGGACAGGGUGACGACUGUCCACUCUGUGUAGCAGAGGGAGGGCUACCGGAGCUGUGACUGCCCUAGUCUCGUGCCUGCUAGCUUAAUGAGUCUGAAAGCGGGCUGAACCACGUGCCUCAGAAGUGACCUUGCAGUGAGCUUCUUCCACACUGCGUUUUUUUCUGUACUCUUUAGUCUGUAAUAUUAAAUAAAACAACAUUCUUAGUGCUGACUAGUGCCUGGUUCCACAU